CCUACGGGGGGCUGCAGUGGGGAAUAUUGCACAAUGGGCGCAAGCCUGAUCCAGCCAUGCCGCGUGAGUGAUGAAGGCCCUAGGGUUGUAAAGCUCUUUCACCGAUGAAGAUAAUGACUGUAGUCGGAGAAGAAGCCCCGGCUAACUCCGUGCCAGCAGCCGCGGUAAUACGGGGGGGGCAAGCGUUGUUCGGAAUUACUGGGCGUAAAGCGCGUGUAGGCGGCUCAGUAAGGUUGCGGUGAAAGCCCGGGGCUCAACCCCGGGUCGGCCGUGGCAACUGCUGAGCUGGAGCACUGUAGAGGCAGACGGAAUUCCGGGUGUAGCGGUGGAAUGCGUAGAGAUCCGGAGGAAGACCGGUGGCGAAGGCGGUCUGCUGGGCAGUUUCUGACACUGAUGCGCGAAAGCGUGGGGAGCAAACAGGAUUAGAUACCCGAGUAGUC
Molecule: ribosomal RNA, 440 nt
Filed under: Pectobacterium carotovorum
Lineage: Bacteria; Pseudomonadati; Pseudomonadota; Gammaproteobacteria; Enterobacterales; Pectobacteriaceae
Also listed under: 1 other name
Description: bacterial SSU rRNA
Rfam family: Bacterial small subunit ribosomal RNA
Source: RNAcentral